GAUGAACGCUGGCGGCGUGCCUAAUACAUGCAAGUCGAGCGAAGCGGGGACGGGUGAGUAACAGGUGGCUAACCUCCUAUAAGACUGGGGUAACUUCGGGAGACCGGAUCCAAACCCGAUACUUAGAGAUGGUUCCUCGCUGCAUUAGCUAGUUGGUAAGGUAACGGCUUACCAAGGCAACGAUGCAUAGCCGACCUGAGAGGGUGAUCGGCCACACUGGAACUGAGACACGGUCCAGACUCCUACGGGAGGCAGCAGUAGGGAAUCUUCCGCAAUGGGCGAAAGCCUGACGGAGCAACGCCGCGUGAGUGAUGAAGGUCUUCGGAUCGUAAAACUCUGUUAUUUGGGAAGCGGUACCUAAUCAGAAAGCAACGGCUAACUACGUGCCAGCAGCCGCGGUAAUUC
This 405-nucleotide ribosomal RNA is filed under the name uncultured bacterium. RNAcentral's name for it is "partial 16S ribosomal RNA". It matches the Rfam family "Bacterial small subunit ribosomal RNA", at positions 28 to 526 of the family's 1533-position model. The record is from RNAcentral.